RNAcentral lists this unclassified non-coding RNA (235 nucleotides) under Hevea brasiliensis (rubber tree). The record is from RNAcentral. Lineage: Eukaryota; Viridiplantae; Streptophyta; Magnoliopsida; Malpighiales; Euphorbiaceae.
AGAAGGGUUAAUUCUGAGCCAAUCACUAGUGAUCUAAAGGAUUGAGCAGAAACAACAAGCUUCCUUGAUCAUAAUUAUCAAACAAUACUUCCUCAGCAUGAAGAUUCCUUCUUUGUAAUUGUUUAAUAAUCACUGACUUCAAAUUACAUACUAUUAAAACCUCAAUAAAUCAGAUGUGUAAAUAUCAAGCAAGCAUUAUAAUUCCUAUCAAUCAAAUGACCAUGUUACUCAUGAA